RNAcentral lists this ribosomal RNA (887 nucleotides) under uncultured bacterium. Its description in RNAcentral is "bacterial SSU rRNA". It matches the Rfam family "Bacterial small subunit ribosomal RNA", at positions 48 to 946 of the family's 1533-position model. The record is from RNAcentral.
CUUAUACAUGCAGUCGAGGGGUAACAUGGGUAGCAAUACCUGAUGACGACCGGCAAACGGGUGCGGAACACGUACGCAACCUUCCCAUAACUGGUGAAUAGCCCUCCGAAAGGAGGAUUAAUACACCGUAACAUAACGAAGAGGCAUCUCUUUGUUAUUAUAGCAGCAAUGCGGUUUUGGAUGGGCGUGCGCCUGAUUAGGUAGUUGGCGGGGUAACGGCCCACCAAGCCUACGAUCAGUAACUGGUGUGAGAGCACGACCAGUCACACGGGCACUGAGACACGGGCCCGACUCCUACGGGAGGCAGCAGUAAGGAAUAUUGGUCAAUGGACGAAAGUCUGAACCAGCCAUGCCGCGUGAAGGAUGAAGGCCCUCUGGGUUGUAAACUUCUUUUAUAGGGGACGAAAAAAGGGAAUUCUUUCUCACUUGACGGUACCCUAGGAAUAAGCACCGGCUAACUCCGUGCCAGCAGCCGCGGUAAUACGGAGGGUGCAAGCGUUAUCCGGAUUUACUGGGUUUAAAGGGUGCGUAGGUGGGCAGUUAAGUCAGUGGUGAAAUCUCCGGGCUUAACCCGGAAACUGCCAUUGAUACUAUCUGUCUUGAAUAUUCUGGAGGUAAGCGGAAUAUGUCAUGUAGCGGUGAAAUGCUUAGAUAUGACAUAGAACACCAAUUGCGAAGGCAGCUUACUACGGGAUUAUUGACACUGAGGCACGAAAGCAUGGGGAUCAAACAGGAUUAGAUACCCUGUAGUCCACGCCCUAAACGAUGGAUACUCGACAUCAGCGAUACACUGUGGUGUCUGAGCGAAAGCAUUAGUAUCCCACCUGGGAGUACGACGCAGUGAAACUCAAAGAUUGACGGGUCCGCCAGCGGUGGAGCAUGUGGUU